This 272-nucleotide ribosomal RNA is filed under the name uncultured bacterium. RNAcentral's name for it is "partial 16S ribosomal RNA". It matches the Rfam family "Bacterial small subunit ribosomal RNA", at positions 524 to 796 of the family's 1533-position model. The record is from RNAcentral.
GACAGAGGGUGCAAACGUUGUUCGGAAUUACUGGGCGUAAAGCGCGUGUAGGCGGCUUGGCAAGUCGGGUGUGAAAGCCCUGGGCUCAACCUAGGAAGUGCACUCGAAACUGCCUCGCUAGAGUGUCGGAGAGGGUAGUGGAAUUCUCGGUGUAGAGGUGAAAUUCGUAGAUAUCGAGAGGAACACCGGUGGCGAAGGCGGCUACCUGGACGACGACUGACGCUGAGACGCGAAAGCGUGGGGAGCAAACAGGAUUAGAACCCCGGUAGUCC